RNAcentral lists this ribosomal RNA (441 nucleotides) under uncultured bacterium. RNAcentral describes it as "partial 16S ribosomal RNA". It matches the Rfam family "Bacterial small subunit ribosomal RNA", at positions 338 to 795 of the family's 1533-position model. The record is from RNAcentral.
CCUACGGGAGGCAGCAGUGGGGAAUAUUGGGCAAUGGAGGCAACUCUGAACCAGCAACGCCGCGUGCACGAUGAAGGUCUUCGGAGUGUAAAGCUCUGUCGCAGGGAACGAAGUAUGACGGUACCCUGUAAGAAAGCACCGGCAAACUACGUGCCAGCAGCCGCGGUAAUACGUAGGGGGCUAGCGUUGUCCGGAAUUACUGGCGGUAAAGGGAGUGUAGACGGCUUGUCAAGUUAAGUGUGAAAGCCUGCGGCUUAACCGCAGAAUUGCACUUAAAACUGACUCGCUAGAGUGCAGGAGAGGUGAGUGGAAUUUAUAGUGUAGCGGUGGAAUGCGUAGAGAUCAGGAGGAACACCAGAGGCGAAGGCGGCUCACUGGACUGUAACUGACGUUGAGGCUCGAAAGCGUGGGGAGCAAACAGGAUUAGAUACCCGAGUAGUC